AUAUGGAGGGUGCGAGCGUUACUCGGAGUCACUGGGCGUAAAGCGUCCGUAGGCGGUCGGGUAAGUCGGGUGUGAAAGCCCCGGGCUCAACCUGGGAAGUGCACCCGAUACUGCUCGACUCGAGUGCGUGAGAGGAUGGCGGAAUUCCCGGUGUAGCGGUGAAAUGCGUAGAGAUCGGGAGGAACACCAGUGGCGAAGGCGGCCAUCUGGCCCGCAACUGACGCUGAGGGACGAAAGCGUGGGGAGCAAACAGAAUUAGAAACCCUAGUAGUCC
Molecule: ribosomal RNA, 274 nt
Filed under: uncultured bacterium
Lineage: Bacteria
Description: partial 16S ribosomal RNA
Rfam family: Bacterial small subunit ribosomal RNA
Source: RNAcentral